Raphanus sativus (radish) is the source of this 453-nucleotide long non-coding RNA. RefSeq lists it as uncharacterized. NCBI's taxonomy places the organism in Eukaryota, Viridiplantae, Streptophyta, Magnoliopsida, Brassicales, Brassicaceae. The record is from RefSeq and is a predicted model, not a curated record. The transcript has 3 exons.
AUGAUCUUCUGAUCCUAUCUUAAAAAAAAGAUUGAAAAUUUGCUGUAGGAUUCUCUCAUGCUUCAAGCUAAACCCGUUUGAGCAUCUCAACCUAUCUUCCGAUUCUUCCACGGAUGAUGUUAAAAGACAGUACUGAAAGGUAUCAAGCUGGAGAGACUUCAUGAAAGCAGGAAAGAAGGCCAAAAAGGGAAGAGACACGUCCUCCAAAACUGAAGACAGAGGAUCCAAACAAAUCAUACGUCCAAAGGCCGGUCAAGAAAGGCUGAUCUCUUUCUCUCUUUUUUUGCUGUUGUUGCCAUUGAUAGAUUUGGUCUUCUCGAGUAUGAUCUCACACUUGUUCUGCUUUAUGUCUGUGUUUCUCUUUGCACAUCACCAACUUCUUGUCUUUCCUAAUACAUCGGAAACAAAUUGACCUCACUUCUCAAACGCUUAUGACCUUACAACUUCUGUAUU